RNAcentral lists this ribosomal RNA (439 nucleotides) under uncultured bacterium. Its description in RNAcentral is "partial 16S ribosomal RNA". It matches the Rfam family "Bacterial small subunit ribosomal RNA", at positions 338 to 795 of the family's 1533-position model. The record is from RNAcentral.
CCUACGGGUGGCUGCAGUGGGGGAUAUUGCACAAUGGAGGAAACUCUGAUGCAGCGACGCCGCGUGAGGGAAGAAGGUCUUCGGAUUGUAAACCUCUGUCUUUGGGGAAGAACAUGACGGUCCCCAAAGAGGAAGCUCCGGCUAACUACGUGCCAGCAGCCGCGGUAAUACGUCGGGAGCGAGCGUUGUCCAGAAUUACUGGGUGUAAAGGGAGCGUAGGCGGGCGAGAAAGUUGAAUGUUAAAUCUACCGGCUUAACUGGGAGCUGCGUUCAAAACUUCUUGUCUUGAGUGAAGUAGAGGCAGGCGGAAUUCCGAGUGUAGCGGUGAAAUGCGUAGAUAUUAGGAGGAACACCAGUGGCGAAGGCGGCCUGCUGGGCGUGAACGGACGCUGAGGCUCGAAAGCGUGGGGAGCAAACAGGAUUAGAUACCCUUGUAGUC